Molecule: ribosomal RNA, 468 nt
Filed under: uncultured bacterium
Lineage: Bacteria
Description: partial 16S ribosomal RNA
Rfam family: Bacterial small subunit ribosomal RNA
Source: RNAcentral
GACGAACGCUGGCGGCGUGCUUAACACAUGCAAGUCGAACGGAAAGGCCCUGCUUUUGUGGGGUGCUCGAGUGGCGAACGGGUGAGUAACACGUGAGUAACCUGCCCUUGACUUUGGGAUAACUUCAGGAAACUGGGGCUAAUACCGGAUAGGAGCUCCUGCUGCAUGGUGGGGGUUGGAAAGUUUCGGCGGUUGGGGAUGGACUCGCGGCUUAUCAGCUUGUUGGUGGGGUAGUGGCUUACCAAGGCUUUGACGGGUAGCCGGCCUGAGAGGGUGACCGGCCACAUUGGGACUGAGAUACGGCCCAGACUCCUACGGGAGGCAGCAGUGGGGAAUAUUGCACAAUGGGCGGAAGCCUGUUGCAGCAACGCCGCGUGCGGGAUGACGGCCUUCGGGCUGUAAACCGCUUUCGCCUGUGACGAAGCGUGAGUGACGGUAAUGGGUAAAGAAGCACCGGCUAACUACGUG